RNAcentral lists this long non-coding RNA (446 nucleotides) under Androctonus crassicauda. Lineage: Eukaryota; Metazoa; Arthropoda; Arachnida; Scorpiones; Buthidae. The record is from RNAcentral.
AGAUUUAAACAUUUCAACAAGUGCUUCAUUUGUGGCACAUAUCCAAUCAAUAUUCAUUUUUUCACCUUGUGUUCCUCAAUAUUUUGAUCAUUAUUCAACAAUGACAUGCAUAUUAGUUGCAUCUUUCAUAAAUCUCCAUAUAAAGGAAUCAAGAUUUGUCAUGUUUGGGAUUGGGUGUCCAGGGAAGUGGUCCCUUACAGCUAAUCCAUCACAGUGGUUAGGAAAUUGUGCAUCUGAGUCAUCCCCCAAUGGAGCAGUACACCAUUCAGUUGAAAGUAAACAUUUAAUUCUCAUUAUUCUAGCUGUGGUAUGACAUAACACUCCAACAUGUCCAUAUACAUAAUGUUAAUUACCGUAGGCUUGGUAAAAGAGAAUUAUCUGAUCACUUCAUCUACAGUCAAUGAACAUUAAUGGGAUAGUCACAAAAUCAAUAUAUAAUGUUCACA